RNAcentral lists this long non-coding RNA (381 nucleotides) under Lathyrus oleraceus (garden pea). RNAcentral describes it as "Pisum sativum (pea) long non-coding RNA (PSAT_LNC027026)". The record is from RNAcentral. Lineage: Eukaryota; Viridiplantae; Streptophyta; Magnoliopsida; Fabales; Fabaceae.
UUAAGACGGUAUAAAUUUGUCAUUCCUUUUUUAGUAUUUACUUUGUAUUCGUUCUUGUAUUUAUGUAAUUUUAUUUUCUUGGAAGUAUUUUAUUCUGUUUCUUUUAUAUUUUCAUCCUUAUCUCCAUCUUUUAUUAUUUUAUUUCCUUGCUAAUAAAUAUUAUAAUUUGACUUUUUUUUUCUCUUCCAUUUAACAACUUUGAAUUGGGUUCCAUUUAAAUAAAUGGUCAAUUGACCCAAUUUAAUAUUACAUCACUAAUAUCUUAAAUUUUAGUCAUCGUUGGUGUAACUUUCUAAACAUUCUAUCAUUUGUUUAACUUUCACUUUCUAUGCACCAUUUGAUCUCCUUCUCCGUGGUACAAAAUAUUCACACAAAAAUAAU